RNAcentral lists this ribosomal RNA (829 nucleotides) under Polyplosphaeria pandanicola. Its description in RNAcentral is "partial 28S large subunit ribosomal RNA". It matches the Rfam family "Eukaryotic large subunit ribosomal RNA", at positions 66 to 913 of the family's 3401-position model. Lineage: Eukaryota; Fungi; Ascomycota; Dothideomycetes; Pleosporales; Tetraplosphaeriaceae. The record is from RNAcentral.
CAACAGGGAUUGCCCUAGUAACGGCGAGUGAAGCGGCAACAGCUCAAAUUUGAAAUCUGGCUCCUUUGGGGCCCGAGUUGUAAUUUGUAGAGGGCACUUCGGUGUUGGCUCCGGCCUAAGUUCCUUGGAACAGGACGUCACAGAGGGUGAGAAUCCCGUACGUGGCCGGUCGCCUUCGCCAUGUGAAGUCCCUUCGACGAGUCGAGUUGUUUGGGAAUGCAGCUCUAAAUGGGAGGUAAAUUUCUUCUAAAGCUAAAUAUUGGCCAGAGACCGAUAGCGCACAAGUAGAGUGAUCGAAAGAUGAAAAGCACUUUGGAAAGAGAGUCAAAAAGCACGUGAAAUUGUUGAAAGGGAAGCGCUUGCAGCCAGACUUGCCUGUAGUUGCUCAUCCGGGCUCUUGCCCGGUGCACUCUUCUGCUGGCAGGCCAGCAUCAGUUUGGGCGGCCGGAUAAAGGCUCUGGGAAUGUGGCUCUCUCCGGGGAGUGUUAUAGCCCAGGGUGUCAUGCGGCCAGUCUGGACUGAGGUCCGCGCAUCUGCUAGGAUGCUGGCGUAAUGGCUGUAAGCGGCCCGUCUUGAAACACGGACCAAGGAGUCUAACAUCUAUGCGAGUGUUUGGGUGUCAAGCCCGGGCGCGUAAUGAAAGUGAACGGAGGUGGGAACCCCCUGGGGUGCACCAUCGACCGAUCCUGAUGUCUUCGGAUGGAUUUGAGUAAGAGCAUAGCUGUUGGGACCCGAAAGAUGGUGAACUAUGCCUGAAUAGGGUGAAGCCAGAGGAAACUCUGGUGGAGGCUCGCAGCGGUUCUGACGUGCAAAUCGAUCGUCAAAUUUG